CUACGGGCGGCACCAGUGGGGAAUAUUGCACAAUGGGCGAAAGCCUGAUGCAGCAACGCCGCGUGAGUGAUGAAGGUCUUCGGAUUGUAAAGCUCUGUUCUUGGGGAAGAAUAAAUGACGGUACCCAAGGAGAAAGCCCCGGCUAACUACGUGCCAGCAGCCGCGGUAAUACGUAGGGGGGCAAGCGUUAUCCGGAAUCACUGGGCGUAAAGGGUGCGUAGGCGGCUUAGCAAGUCAGAAGUGAAAGGCAUUGGCUCAACCAAUGUAAGCUUUUGAAACUGUUAGGCUUGAGUGCAGGAGAGGAAAGUGGAAUUCCUAGUGUAGCGGUGAAAUGCGUAGAUAUUAGGAGGAACACCAGUGGCGAAGGCGACUUUCUGGACUGUAACUGACGCUGAGGCACGAAAGCGUGGGGAGCGAACAGGAUUAGAUACCCCGGUAGUC
This 441-nucleotide ribosomal RNA is filed under the name uncultured bacterium. Its description in RNAcentral is "partial 16S ribosomal RNA". It matches the Rfam family "Bacterial small subunit ribosomal RNA", at positions 339 to 795 of the family's 1533-position model. The record is from RNAcentral.